UGAAUAGGGUUUUAAAUUUUUUGGCUGACU
This 30-nucleotide non-coding RNA is filed under the name Mus musculus (house mouse). Lineage: Eukaryota; Metazoa; Chordata; Mammalia; Rodentia; Muridae. The record is from RNAcentral.